GGAUGACUCUCGGCAAUGGAUAUCUAGGCUCUCGCAUCGAUGAAGAACGUAGCGAAAUGCGAUACUUGGUGUGAAUUGCAGAAUCCCGUGAACCAUCGAGUCUUUGAACGCAAGUUGCGCCGGAGCCGUCAGGCCGAGGGCACGUCUGCCUGGGCGACCGA
RNAcentral lists this ribosomal RNA (161 nucleotides) under Halophila stipulacea. RNAcentral describes it as "5.8S ribosomal RNA". It matches the Rfam family "5.8S ribosomal RNA". Rfam says of the family: 5.8S ribosomal RNA (5.8S rRNA) is a component of the large subunit of the eukaryotic ribosome. It is transcribed by RNA polymerase I as part of the 45S precursor that also contains 18S and 28S rRNA. The record is from RNAcentral. Lineage: Eukaryota; Viridiplantae; Streptophyta; Magnoliopsida; Alismatales; Hydrocharitaceae.